Molecule: long non-coding RNA, 1376 nt
Filed under: Takifugu rubripes (torafugu)
Lineage: Eukaryota; Metazoa; Chordata; Actinopteri; Tetraodontiformes; Tetraodontidae
Description: lncRNA (ENSTRUG00000028274.1)
Source: RNAcentral
UAUGGAAUAAGUGUACAACAACCUCCGGGUUCUGUACUAAUGGCUGGACUUUAACGGUGUUUUAUCCAUUUUCCCCUGAAGGUGUAUGAAUUAGCAACAAUGCCAGGUAUGGUUGGGUUUUCUCUCGCUAUACAUUUGGUUUGAAGUGAGAGGGUCUCUCAGGUCUCAGUUAUGGCCGUUCCGUCCGUCUGUGCAGACUACGAUCCCCUGCCGCACAUCCCGGUGGUGGAGAUGGUGUCGGAGGACGAGACGUCCGAGGUGGAGAGCCUGACCCAUUUCCCGCCCAAGUUAGUAUCAAACACUGGAUGGGUCAGAGGUGACGGAGGUGCGUGAGAAGCCCCUGAACCUCACCUGUCCGUCUCUCCACAGGGUCGUCAGCUGGAUCAAGCAGAUGGUCCCUCAGCCCGUUCUAGUGCCCCCUGGUGCCGUAAUUACAGAACCGUCAAACAAGACAUCAGCGCGUUCCUCUCUGGACAAAAGUACCAAAACACACACUAAUUUAGGUGGGUUUUUUUCUGGAGAUUCUGAGUGUAACACACGUCUGUCCUUCUGCCAGUUAUGUCCCCCCCACCUGAAUCUCUCAGUGGAAUCUCGUUGGACACCGACAGCAAGGUUUCAGGGUACGUGUUGUUGAGCUCUCAAAUGCCUGUAUUCAUCAGUUCAACCAUCAUUUAGCUGUGAGUCGCAGGGUGUUCCGGCACGAAGAGGCCGCCGACCUUCGCGCGUCUGAACACAAUAAAAGUGUCCUAAGACACCUCGUGGUGGUUGAGAACUCAUUGCAGCUCAUCUGUUGCCAGUGUUGUCAGCUGGUUUGUGUCAGGACUGGGUCUGAAACUGCCUCAGCCUCCGACCCAUGAAGAAAAUGAGGGUGGAAAUGAAACUCUACAGAAGGGGGGGAAGGCGCUGCGAGCCCCUUAAACAGCAGGAGGAGCAGACUGGGCCACCGUCCGACUCAGACAGCUCACUAACGAUAGACAAACACGUGCGCUGCAGCUCAGAAAACGGCAGCUUCUCGAACUUGUGCACCGUGGAUGUAUUACCAAGUGCACACGCACACCUUAGAUGUGUCUUGUCCUUCCUUUUCCUGAUCCUGUUGCCAUUUUUAUAUCCAGCAGAGUAACCGUGAGGGAAAAUAAGUACGUGAUUUACGUUAAAUACACGGUCUUGUGUGUUUCUGUUUACGCGUAGGCAGAAAUCUGGGGCAAAGAAUUGAAGGGCAGCUAAAUUUAUUUAUUAUUGAGUUGGUUACAAAGCUCUGUGUUUCUAUUAUAUUAUAUAUUCUAUAUUUAGUAGAAAUCCAAUAGAAAUCCAAUCUGAUCUACAGGUUUGAACUGUGAAAUGUGGCCUGGAGAAUCUCAUGUUAGCCAUAAUGGUGG